RNAcentral lists this ribosomal RNA (466 nucleotides) under Vreelandella stevensii. Its description in RNAcentral is "partial 16S ribosomal RNA". It matches the Rfam family "Bacterial small subunit ribosomal RNA", at positions 338 to 795 of the family's 1533-position model. The record is from RNAcentral. Lineage: Bacteria; Pseudomonadati; Pseudomonadota; Gammaproteobacteria; Oceanospirillales; Halomonadaceae.
CCUACGGUGGGGCAGCAGUGGGGAAUAUUGGACAAUGGGCGAAAGCCUGAUCCAGCCAUGCCGCGUGUGUGAAGAAGGCCUUCGGGUUGUAAAGCACUUUCAGUGGGGAAGAAAGCCUUGGGGCUAAUACCCUCGAGGAAGGACAUCACCCACAGAAGAAGCACCGGCUAACUCCGUGCCAGCAGCCGCGGUAAUACGGAGGGUGCGAGCGUUAAUCGGAAUUACUGGGCGUAAAGCGCGCGUAGGCGGUCUGAUAAGCCGGUUGUGAAAGCCCCGGGCUCAACCUGGGAACGGCAUCCGGAACUGUCAGGCUAGAGUGCAGGAGAGGAAGGUAGAAUUCCCGGUGUAGCGGUGAAAUGCGUAGAGAUCGGGAGGAAUACCAGUGGCGAAGGCGGCCUUCUGGACUGACACUGACGCUGAGGUGCGAAAGCGUGGGUAGCAAACAGGAUUAGAUACCCGAGUAGUC